GGCGAACGGGUGAGUAACACGUGGGUGAUCUGCCCUGCACUUCGGGAUAAGCCUGGGAAACUGGGUCUAAUACCGGAUAGGAGCUCCUGCUGCAUGGUGGGGGUUGGAAAGUUUCGGCGGUUGGGGAUGGACUCGCGGCUUAUCAGCUUGUUGGUGGGGUAGUGGCUUACCAAGGCUUUGACGGGUAGCCGGCCUGAGAGGGUGACCGGCCACAUUGGGACUGAGAUACGGCCCAG
This 236-nucleotide ribosomal RNA is filed under the name uncultured Actinomycetales bacterium. RNAcentral describes it as "partial 16S ribosomal RNA". It matches the Rfam family "Bacterial small subunit ribosomal RNA", at positions 97 to 334 of the family's 1533-position model. The record is from RNAcentral. Lineage: Bacteria; Bacillati; Actinomycetota; Actinomycetes; Actinomycetales.